UUAGCUAACCCGCCUACAACGACAAUGCCUUCACAAAGUCCUGGUCCAGGUCCAGGUGUUGUUCAGUACUCCAAUCCUGAUCACUGCAAAAACCUGACACUUCACUAUCCGAAAGGUUAUGGCCGAGUCAUGAAUUCUACUGCAGGACUUCGGCUAUGUGAGUCAUGGGGAAUGGACUUGCCUACACUACGGUCAUAUGAUGGGGAUUUAAUCACCGGUCAUUGCUUAGUCCAUAUGCUUGAUGGUUGGCCUACUAGUGCUGCAUCGAAGGCCAAUACUUUGAUUGAAGGUGUUUUUAUUUGGAGGCCUAAACCCGCAACCAGUCAAGGAGAAAAAGUAGGCGUAUUCUAUCGGGGAGCAACUCAGGCUGAUAUCCGUAAUGAAAGAGAGCAUCACCGCACCGUUUGCGCUGAGUAUACAUAUUGCGAUCCCCCUACAGCAAAUGCCAGCUUCAGAAAUUUCGCAUAUGUUGGUGAUACCUUCAAUAGAGCAACAAUCGACUGUACCCAUCGAUACCGUCUAGCUGGUACCCUGCCUAUGAGAUGCAGGGGUGGAAACAAGUGGAGUUCU
This is a long non-coding RNA of Sycon ciliatum, 570 nucleotides long. RefSeq lists it as uncharacterized. NCBI's taxonomy places the organism in Eukaryota, Metazoa, Porifera, Calcarea, Leucosolenida, Sycettidae. The transcript has 3 exons. The record is from RefSeq and is a predicted model, not a curated record.